Molecule: long non-coding RNA, 1561 nt
Filed under: Salmo salar (Atlantic salmon)
Lineage: Eukaryota; Metazoa; Chordata; Actinopteri; Salmoniformes; Salmonidae
Description: lncRNA (ENSSSAG00000114202.1)
Source: RNAcentral
AGAGAGAGAGAGAGAGAGAGAGAUGGGUAUAGAUGGUUUAGAGAGAGAGAGAGAGAGAGAGCUGGAGAGAGAGAGAGAGCUGGGUAUAGAUGGUUUAGAGAGAGAGAGAGAGAGCUGGGUAUAGAUGGUUUAGAGAGAGAGAGAGAGAGGGCUGGGUAUAGAUGGUUUAGAGCGAGAGAGAGAGAGAGAGAGAGCUGGGUAUAGAUGGUUUAGAGAGAGAGAGAGAGAGAGCUGGGUAUAGAUGGUUUAGAGCGAGAGAGAGAGAGAGAGAGAGAGAGAGCUGGGUAUAGAUGGUUUAGAGGGAGAGAGAGAGAGAGAGAGAGAGAGAGAGCUGGGUAUAGAUGGUUUAGAGAGAGAGAGAGAGAGAGAGAGAGCUGGGUAUAGAUGGUUUAGAGAGAGAGAGAGAGAGAGAGAGCUGGGUAUAGAUGGUUUAGAGAGAGAGAGAGCUGGGUAUAGAUGGUUUAGAGAGAGAGAGAGAGCUGGGUAUAGAUGGUUUAGAGAGAGAGAGAGCUGGGUAUAGAUGGUUUAGAGAGAGAGAGCUGGGUAUAGAUGGUUUAGAGAGAGAGAGAGAGAGAGAGCUGGGUAUAGAUGGUUUAGAGAGAGAGAGCUGGGUAUAGAUGGUUUAGAGAGAGAGAGAGCUGGGUAUAGAUGGUUUAGAGAGAGAGAGCUGGGUAUAGAUGGUUUAGAGAGAGAGAGAGAGAGAGAGCUGGGUAUAGAUGGUUUAGAGAGAGAGAGAGAGAGAGCUGGGUAUAGAUGGUUUAGAGAGAGAGAGAGAGAGAGAGCUGGGUAUAGAUGGUUUAGAGAGAGAGAGCUGGGUAUAGAUGGUUUAGAGAGAGAGAGCUGGGUAUAGAUGGUUUAGAGAGAGAGAGAGAGCUGGGUAUAGAUGGUUUAGAGAGAGAGAAUGAGAGAGAGCUGGGUAUAGAUGGUUUAGAGAGAGAGAGAGCUGGGUAUAGAUGGUUUAGAGAGAGAGAGAGAGAGCUGGGUAUAGAUGGUUUAGAGAGAGAGAGAGAGCUGGGUAUAGAUGGUUUAGAGAGAGAGAGAGAGCUGGGUAUAGAUGGUUUAGAGAGAGAGAGAUUUGUGAAUCAUUUUCAUUAAGAUUCUACCUACUUUGCACAAGUCAUAUAGAGCAAUAUACACUGAGUAAACAAAACAUUAAGAACACCUGCUCUUUCCAUGACAUAGACUGACCAGGUGAAUCCAGGUGAAAAGCUAUGAUUCCCUUAUUGAUGCCAAGUCUUAAAUCCACUUCAAAUCAGUGCAGAUGAAGGUUAAAUCAUUAUUUUUAAGCCUUGAGACAAUUGAGACAUGGAUUGUGUAUGUGUACCGUUCAGAAGGUGAAUGGUCAAGACAACAAACAAAAUGUAAGUGCCUUUGAACGGGGUAUGGUAGUAGAUACCAGGCGCACCGGUUUGUGUCGAGAACUACAACGCUGCCGGAGUUUUUCCACACUCACCAGUUUCCUGUGUUUAUCAACAAUGGUCCACCACCCAAAGGACAUCCAGCCACCAUUUGGAAGACCAUUCUGGUGUGUCUUUGCCAUUAACAAUAACACUAUUUUUUU